Molecule: long non-coding RNA, 884 nt
Filed under: Olea europaea (common olive)
Lineage: Eukaryota; Viridiplantae; Streptophyta; Magnoliopsida; Lamiales; Oleaceae
Description: long non-coding RNA (OEUR_LNC012257)
Source: RNAcentral
AAACUAGUUGCCCAUCUCUGUGCUGCUUUGCAAAGCUAAUUACAACAAAUACUGAUUUGAAUGCUGAAUUUCUUUUCGUGAAGUUUUUGUCCAUGAAGCUUGCUGCUGUUGAUAAUAGACAAAAAUAUGGACUCGAUCAAUUUCUAUUGGGAGAUGUAAGUAAAGAUUACCAGAGAAAUAAUAUAGUUUACUUAAGCCGUUAAGCGCUACCUUCGAGCUUCAUCUUAGUUCUUUUCUAUGUAGAUCCAUCAGUCACAAGGAGGAAUUACUUCCACUGUAGAUAAUCUUGAAAUGGGCUCCUUUUACUCCCUUCAAGGUAAUGUUUCGCAAGUGACUUUGUCAACACUAGCACAGAUUUGAGCCCCGGAUGUUUAUCAACCCUUAAUCAAUGUUCUGAUCUUAAUUAUCGACUUCCAGUUUCAAAUCGCAAGUGUAUGGAAAGAGAAAAACCCAAGUGUAUGGUAAGAACCAAAUGGAUUUCGUCUUUAACUUGGAUCCGGACACUUUAAAAUCAAAUGCCCACAUCUAAAAUUUAGAUUUUAAUGAUUUCGCUAUUUCUUUAUCCCUUUUCCAUUUUUUCUUCCAAAAAAGUUCAAUCAGAGGGUAACAGCCACUUAAUCUUGGAGUUGUUUUGCAUUUUCAGGAUUUAAUAAACUAAGAGGUGCAAGUUUCCUGGUGAGUCCGACAUAUAAUCUUGUUUUGAGGAGGUUCUUUGAGGUUGACUUGACUUCUAUUACUACAUAACUUUGUUGCUUCUAAGCGUUAAUCUUAGGAUUUGUAAACAAAAUUUCGUUAUUGUACUCACGAAAGGCUCUUAUUCCUCAAAUUUUAGCUAACAGAGAUGAGUUUGAAGGUAGUAGCAUAGUCAAAUUCAUGGAAUGAAC